Nomascus leucogenys (northern white-cheeked gibbon) is the source of this 1307-nucleotide long non-coding RNA. RefSeq lists it as uncharacterized. The record is from RefSeq and is a predicted model, not a curated record. The transcript has 8 exons. NCBI's taxonomy places the organism in Eukaryota, Metazoa, Chordata, Mammalia, Primates, Hylobatidae.
UCAGGAUGAUGAAGUAAGUGAUGGAAUAGGUUGCCAACUGUAGUUACUCCACUCAGCACAGAAUGGCUGCGGGGAAAUAGAAUCAGACAUGCCCAAAGAAGUCUGCUUAGGGUGAAACAAAUACCUUUGAGGUUUAAAUCAGAAAGGAAGGAGAGACUGUUUCUACAGGUGUCAUACAAAAAUCAACACUGAGCCAAGGAUUAUUGGAUCUCAUAGAACCACGGAGACUUGGCAGUGAAAUUCUUCCAAAGCAUUCCAUCCGUGCAGGCAGACGGUGUUCCUAGGUUUGGAAAUACAAAUCCCAUGGGAAGUCAGCUGAAGACCAUUUUAUGCGUCACUCAUCCUGUUACGAGCCCUGUGCUGUUCUGUCUCUCUAUAGGACUGGCUGAAACCACGACAGUUGUUUAAAAUUUAUGCUCUAACUUUGGAUCACCUAGUUAAUACUCUGACUCUGAUUAUUACCAAAGACAAUGUUCUAUAAAAGAUAUUCUCUAUUAGAAGGAUGCUCCUGCAUUAUUAAUAAAAUCACAGGGAAAAUGCAACAUUUUGGAUGUCACAUCUAAUAAGUUGGCAGUUAAAGAACAGAAACACAGCAAUAAGACUGCGUGGCUACAUUUUCCCAGUACCACCAACUGGGAGUUAAGCUGACUAACAUUUUGAAAGCCCAGCCCAUUUCAUUCACAGCAGGAUGGCAGUGGGUGACUGAUCAUACCCGCCAGCUGGCUAAUGUCAUAAUUAACAAAGUUGCUACUACAUCUGCAAAGUUUAAUCGAAAAAUUUUCCAGUGCUAUGAUGGCAUUGUCACAGAGAUCACAAGGGACACGGAGUCGACUUUUGCUCAAGGUGGAACGACAGAGCUGUGUAGGCAAGAUGAGAAAUUGCAAACUUGUUCGGCCAAAGGAGGCUAAUAAUGAAGGGGCCGGGAAGGAGGCCAGUGCUACCAGGGUUAUCUCACAACCUCAGAUGCUGGAUAAGUCGAAGGAGGCAGAAUUGCUUUGGGAUGACAUUCAGAGAGGCUGGAGUGAUUACUUGGAAGAGAAAAGCCUACCUAUUCUUUCCAAGGUGCAGGAAUAUUCCCCUGACCUGCUCAUCCAAUGGUCCAGUAAUGAAUUACUGGAGACCUGCCUUAGACAAAGAAUGCACUCGGAGCCCCAACACACCUAAAGCCACGCUUUGAAGGAUCUGCCAAGCUCACUUUUAAUCAUAAGAAAGAAAUUACCCACACGGAGUCAGCAGAAAAUGAGAAAGUAGGGCUCGUGCUGUGAAUAAUUCCAGCAAGUGCCAAGGGGCUAGUUGAGGAAUGGCUU